UAAGUAGGUAGUAAAGCCUGGGGCUCAACCCCUUAAAUAUUAUCUAAACUGCUAAGCUAGAAUAUAGAAGAGGUAGCUGGAAUUCCUAGUGUAGGAGUGAAAUCCGUAGAUAUUAGGAGGAACACCGAUGGCGUAGGCAGGCUACUGGUCUAUUAUUGACGCUAAGGCACGAAAGCGUGGGUAGCAAACGGGAUUAGAUACCCCGGUAGUCCACGCCGUAAACUAUGGAUGCUA
RNAcentral lists this ribosomal RNA (234 nucleotides) under uncultured Candidatus Saccharibacteria bacterium. RNAcentral's name for it is "partial 16S ribosomal RNA". It matches the Rfam family "Bacterial small subunit ribosomal RNA", at positions 584 to 818 of the family's 1533-position model. Lineage: Bacteria; Candidatus Saccharimonadota. The record is from RNAcentral.